GAGGGGUUGCCCUGACAAAAAGUGGGUCAUAUACUCAGGUGAUUUAAUGUGAAAGGGGGAAAAGGUGGGACUUCCGCACUCCAGGAGGAGGAAGAGCAGAUGCAGGGAUAAAGAAGAAGACUUCAGAUUAGGCUUUGGAAGAAAAAGGAUGCAACAGCCAUGUGAUCUCGAAAGUGUACUAGCCUUUCAUGUUUGUGAAUGGAAGAACUCAGGAUAAUUUUACUUGUUUUGAGUGCUUCAUUCAAGAGAAACUGGAAAAUGGUCUGAGCUGUAAAGAUUUGUCUCAACUCUGUCACUCAGGAUCACUUUCCUUAUCUUGUCAACAGCUCUUUAAGGUUAAAUGACCAUAGAGUCUAGGUAACUUUGGCUACAUUCUGCUAGUAUCAAGAAUGUAUUAAAAUAUAGUAACUAUUCUUUCCAGUUAC
This 425-nucleotide long non-coding RNA is filed under the name Mus pahari (shrew mouse). RNAcentral describes it as "lncRNA (MGP_PahariEiJ_G0006505.1)". Lineage: Eukaryota; Metazoa; Chordata; Mammalia; Rodentia; Muridae. The record is from RNAcentral.